This 300-nucleotide ribosomal RNA is filed under the name uncultured prokaryote. RNAcentral's name for it is "bacterial SSU rRNA". It matches the Rfam family "Bacterial small subunit ribosomal RNA", at positions 355 to 652 of the family's 1533-position model. The record is from RNAcentral.
UGAGGAAUAUUGGACAAUGGAUGGAAAUCUGAUCCAGCCAUGCCGCGUGCAGGAAGAAUGUCCUAUGGAUUGUAAACUGCUUUUGUAUGGGAGCAAUAAGGUCUUCGUGAAGACUGAUGAGAGUACCAUACGAAUAAGCACCGGCUAACUCCGUGCCAGCAGCCGCGGUAAUACGGAGGGUGCAAGCGUUAUCCGGAUUUAUUGGGUUUAAAGGGUGCGUAGGCGGUUAUAUAAGUCAGCGGUGAAAUUUUUCAGCUUAACUGGAAACAUGCCGUUGAUACUGGAUAGCUUGAAUAUGGU